Callithrix jacchus (white-tufted-ear marmoset) is the source of this 1903-nucleotide long non-coding RNA. The record is from Ensembl. NCBI's taxonomy places the organism in Eukaryota, Metazoa, Chordata, Mammalia, Primates, Cebidae.
GACAGUCUCAACAUCUGGUUUAAUGAAACCACUGGUGCUUAGAGGUCUGCUAACCCAGGGCCACUUUAACACCGUAGCUGCAGGCUUUGGAAAUCAUCAGCUGGCAUGCAUUUGGGCAGAAUACCCAGUCUGCUCUGAAUUCCCACUUUUGCUUAGAAGUUGGCCUGUGAUUUUACCGCCGGGGCCGACCUUAAUAUAGAGUACACAGAUGGCUACCUACGUGGUGUGAUCUGAGGGCAACCAAGACAAGGUUCUUCACCACAUUGCCUGCUUGACCAGCAUUACUUAACUUUGGCUCUUGAUGGCUACUGCAGAUUAUAAAAACAUUCUUCAAACAGUGGAGAAAAUCCAACCCAAGGAGAACAGAAUAUUCUUAGUGUAUAGAGGAUGAAGUUCAAACAAAAUCAUUGCUGAGACUACCAUGAGACGUGAAAAAAAACCGAUUUAGGAAAUAGUAGACUGUGACAAUGCCGCAGACAGCAGCCAAGGGCAUUCACAUCUAACACCAUGAGCAUCUUCGUGUCUCUGUUCAUUCCUGUGUUAUGAACGUACCAUUCUUUGAUGGUAAGUCACAAAGUCAUCACUUUGCCUGUUACAUUUGAGCAGCUGUGGAAAAACAGAUUGCAGGUUAAGAUUUCCUUCCCGGCUGUUUUUAAAAUGAUUUCUGUGGUCUGAGUUGUAUUCCAUUUUUGGCCAUCAGUGUGUUUGUAGGCAAACUUCUUAUGUUUAUCUCUAGGUGCUUUGUUUUGUAACUAUAUUUAAAGUUACUAAUAGUGAAAUAAUUCACCUUUAAACAAGAGAUUGUAAAAGAGUAUUAAAUAAAGGGGAAAUUUUCUGUGCCUUAGCCUUUUAAAUUGCAAACAAUGAAUAGGCUUUAUUUUCUCUCAAAGUUCUUAAAGCUACUCAUAGUUCAUAAAUAUAGUGAAAUUAUAAACUCAUCAGCUUAUCAUUUUAAAUUUAGCUUAAUUAGAGAUGAGGACAAAAGCAGAUUAUGAGAAAACAGAAUUCUGGGUAUCAUAGGUAAAUAUUAUAGUGUAACUUCUUUGGUCAGAGCUUGCCUAGAAAAAUCUACAAUUUACUUGAUGUUUUUGGUUGAUUUUUCUGUGAUUCCUCUUCUCCUGUAUUUUUUUUUUUCCACCCAGGCUGGAGUGCAGUGGCGCAAUCUCAGCUCACUGCAGCUUCAGCCUCCCAGGUUCAAGUGAGUCUCCUGCCUCAGCCUCCCAGGUAGCUGGGAUUACAGGCACCUGCCACCAUGCCCGGCUAAUUUUUUUUUUUUUGUAUUUUUAGUGGAGAUGGGGUUUCACCAUAUUGGCCAGGCUAGUUUCAAAUUCCUGACUUUGUGAUCUGCCUGCCUUGGCCUCUCAAAGUGCUGGAUUAUAGGCGUGAGCCACUGUGCCCAGCCGCUUCUACUGCACUUUAAAAAUAUUCUCGGAUGUUAUACAUACGUAUCCAUUUGUUCAUCAUAUUAUCUAUUUGAACACAAACAUCCACUGUGUUCUGAGAAUUAUGUUUGUGCUUGAAGCUUCUAAAUGGAAUAGACAGGUCCCACUGUGUCAGCGGGAAACAGAAACAAUUACAGUCUUGUUACACACACAGAAAUAUGCUUGAGGUUCCAAGAGAUCACCUGGGAAGGAGCUCCUGGUUCUGUCUGGAAAUGUCAGGGGGAACCUGCCCAAGGAGGAAACACUUACCUGAGGGAGCAACUCCUUUCCUUGUGAUCUAGACGGGGAGAAAAGCAGGUGUUCGGUAAGUACUUGGCUUGAGGGAGCCCUGGGUGCUCUCCACAGCCUUAGAGAUUCUGGGGAGGAGCUUAGAGGUUCACAGCCUAAGAAGUUCUGGGGAGGUGCUUAAGGAAGGACCCACUAACAGUCAGAGGAAAAAUAUCAAGUAAGAGAGACUUCCA